Molecule: ribosomal RNA, 2757 nt
Filed under: Candidatus Daviesbacteria bacterium GW2011_GWA2_42_7
Lineage: Bacteria; Candidatus Daviesiibacteriota
Description: bacterial LSU rRNA
Rfam family: Bacterial large subunit ribosomal RNA
Source: RNAcentral
CAAAGGCAUACGGUGAAUGCCUAGGUCGAAAGUACCGAUGAAGGACGCACUAGACGGCGAUACUCUCCGGGGAGCUGCCAAGAAGCUUUGAUCCGGAGGUUUCCGAAUGGAGUAAUCCAUCCGUAAGGAUACCAUCAACUGAAUUCAUAGGUUGGUGGAGGGUACGCGCUGAACUGAAACAUCUAAGUAAGCGCAGGAAAAGAAAUCAAUAGAGAUUCCCCCAGUAGCGGCGAGCGAAAAGGGAACAGCCUAAACCUAGUGCGAGUAGUGAAGAUAGCAGAAGCCACUGGAAAGUGGCGCCGAAGAGGGUGAUAGCCCUGUAUGCGAAAUCUAAACUACCGUGGUUGGAUCCUCAAGUAGUCCAGGACACGUGAAAUCCUGGGUGAAUCCGGGGCGACCAUGCCCUAAGGCUAAAUAUACUUUCGGACCGAUAGUGAACUAGUACCGUGAGGGAAAGGUGAAAAGAAGGGCGGAACGCCCAGUGAAAUAGUACCUGAAACCGUAUGCUGUCAAGCUGUGGAAGGGAUGUACCAUUACGGUACGUCCUAACCGCGUGCCUAUUGAAGAAUGAACCGGUGAGUUGUCCUGUACUCCAAGUCUAAGUGCCGUAAGGCACAGAAGGCGUAGUGAAAGCGAGCCCUAACCGGGCGUCUAGGAGUGCACGGCAGACCCGAAACCGAGUGAGCUAACCAUGUCCAGGGUGAACUUCGCCGAAAGGCCGAGGGAGGCCCGAACCCGUUACUGUGGCAAUAGUUUGGGAUGAGAUGUGGUUAGAGGUGAUAUGCCUAACGAACUCGGAGAUAGCUGGUUCUCCCCGAAAUAUAUCUAGGUAUAGCCCUGUGCAAUCAAAUAGGGGGUAGAGCUCUGGAUGGAUCUGAGUGGCGCAAGCUAUUCAAUCCAAUCAAACUUCAAAUACCUAUUUGUGUAGCAGGAGUCAGUCCGAUCCGGCUAAGCGGAGCGGGCCUGAGGGAAACAUCCCAGACCGUCAGUUAAGGUCCCUAAAUAACACUUAAGUGUCAAAGGAUGUGAGGUUCCUUAGACAGCCAGGAGGUUGGCUUAGAAGCAGCCAUCCUUUAAAGAAAGCGUAACAGCUCGCUGGUCUAGUUACGGAAUCUUGCGCCGACAACGAAUCGGGGCUAAAGUGUUUACCGAAACUACGGAUCACGAUCUCCGAUAUCUGAGUUCCGAUUUCCGGGCUUGGUGGUAGGGGAGCGUUUUGAUUGGAGUGAAGCUGCACUGUGAGGUGUGGUGGACUGAUCAGAAGUGAGAAUGCCGGUAUGAGUAGCGAAAGUCCGAUGAAAAAUCGGACCGCCGAAAGCCCAAGGUUUCCUGAUCCAUGUUAAUCAGAUCAGGGUUAGUCGGCACCUAAGACGAGGCCAAAUGGCGUAGUCGAUGGACGACCCGUUAAAAUUCGGGUACUUGGAUUACUCGAUAAAGACUCUACGGAGGGACAAAGUGGGAAUAUUUGAGCCCUGCACCAUACGGUGCGGGGUCUAAGUAAUGAGGUGUAAGCCUCUAGUGCCGUAAGGCACUGCAAGCUAGUGAGUGCAGGUAAAUCCGCACUUAGUCUGUGCAAAUGGACCGUUCCGACGAGUCGUUAAGACGACGUCGGAAUGCAUAAGCAAGUUGCGAAUGCGCAAGUCAGAAAGUUUCUGUUUUCAAGAAAAGCUUCGUAGAGGAGGUAAUUUAAGCCGUACCAUAAACCGACACAGGUGGGCGAGUUGAGUAUACAAAGGCGAUCGGGAGACCUAUCCUUAAGGAACUCGGCAAUACAACUGGACGUAAGUUAGCAAGAUGUCCUGGGGUGUACCAUACGGUACGCCCUUGCAACAAACGACGCUGAGCGACUGUUUAACAAAAACACAGGUCCCUGCUAAAGCGAAAGCUGAUGUAUAGGGGCUGACACCUGCCCAGUGCCAGUAAUUUAAUGUUUCAGGUGACCCAAAGAAGCAAUUCUGAGGUGAGCUUGGGGCCUAAGAUCUGGUGAACGGCAGCAGUAACUAUAACUGUUCUAUGGUAGCGAAGUUCCUCGGACUGUAGGGUAUAUUAAUACCUGACAGAUCUGGGCGGGUAACAAGGUCUGGCGGGCAGUUUAACUGGGGCGGUUGCCUCCAAAAGAGUAACGGAGGCGUACAAAGGUACACUUGUCUCCAAUGGCAACGGAGAAUAAAGCGCAAAAGCAGAGAGUGUGCUUGAUAGUGAGACCCACAAGUCGAACUAGUGCGAAAGCAGGUUUUAGUGAUCCCUACUUUGCUUAUGGGAGCGAGUAGGCUUAUCGGAUAAAAGCUACCCCGGGGAUAACAGGCUAGUGAUACCCAACAGUCCACAAGGACGGUAUCGUUCGGCACCUCGAUGUCGGCUUAACAUCACAUCCUGCGGCUGAAGAAGGUCGCAAGGGUCGGGCUGUUCGCCCGUUAAAGUGGUACGCGAGCUGGGUUCAGAGCGGCGUAAGCCAGCUCGGACUCUAUCCAGUAUGGGCGUUUGGAUUCUUGAGGGAAGUUGUCUCUAGUACGAGAGGACCGAGAUGAGGAAACCUCUAGUGUGCCGGUUGUACCAAAAGUGCAGCGCCGGGUAGCUACGUUUCUUCCUGAUAAGCGCUGAAAGCAUCUAAGCACGAAGCAGAUCCCAAGAUUAGGAAUCCUUAAGCAGAGCUUGCGAAAGCAGGAGCUGCUUUCUAAAGACCCCUGGGAGACUACCAGGUUGAUAGGUUAGAGGUGGAAGCGCUGUAAGGCGUUAAGCCUACUAAUACUAAUGGUC